Molecule: unclassified non-coding RNA, 602 nt
Filed under: Hevea brasiliensis (rubber tree)
Lineage: Eukaryota; Viridiplantae; Streptophyta; Magnoliopsida; Malpighiales; Euphorbiaceae
Source: RNAcentral
UACACUACCUGGAUCCGAGAGGAAGAAUGGAAGCUCUAGUAAAGGAAAUUUUGCCAAACUGUACUGUGAGAACAGUGAUGAAAAUGUUGAAAAGUGGGAAAGAAAAAACUCUGCCUCAUUGGUUUCAACUACUGUAAAUGGAGACGGAACUGUGAAUCCUGGAGUGGAGAUCGGUAAUUCUGAGGUAGAAUAUAUUGAGUCUGAGAAUUUGAGUGAUGUAGACGACAUUGAUACCUGUGUAAGGACACUCUUGGCUGGACUAGACUCCAAAGAUUGGAUUCUGGUUUGUGAAUCACUUAACAAUGUACGUCGGUUAUCCAUAUUUCACAAGGAAGCAUUGCUGGAUAUGCUGGGUGAUGUGAUACCACUCAUUGUCAAGUCAUUGAAGAAUCCAAGAAGCGCCGUUUGUAAAACCGCAAUUAUGACUUCUGCUGACUUGUUCAAUGCAUAUAACGAUCACUUAAUUGAUUCAUUGGAUCCUCUGCUUGUACAGCUUCUUCUCAAGUCUUCACAAGACAAACGAUUUGUAUGUGAGGCAGCUGAGAGAGCUCUGGUAGCAAUGACGACUUGGGUUUCCCCUACACUGUUGUUACCAAAGUUAC